This 460-nucleotide ribosomal RNA is filed under the name uncultured bacterium. Its description in RNAcentral is "partial 16S ribosomal RNA". It matches the Rfam family "Bacterial small subunit ribosomal RNA", at positions 338 to 795 of the family's 1533-position model. The record is from RNAcentral.
CCUACGGGUGACAGCAGUGAGGAAUAUUGGUCAAUGGACGAGAGUCUGAACCAGCCAAGUAGCGUGAAGGAUGACGGCCCUAUGGGUUGUAAACUUCUUUUAUAAAGGAAUAAACCGCGGCACGUGUGCCCUUUUGCAUGUACCUUAUGAAUAAGGAUCGGCUAACUCCGUGCCAGCAGACGCGGUAAUACGGAGGAUCCGAGCGUUAUCCGGAUUUAUUGGGUUUAAAGGGUGCGUAGGUGGGUUGUUAAGUCAGCUGUGAAAGGUCGCGGCUCAACCGUGGAAUUGCCGUUGAUACUGUCAGUCUUGAGUGCAGGUGAGGUAGGCGGAAUGCGUGGUGUAGCGGUGAAAUGCUUAGAUAUCACGCAGAACCCCGAUUGCGAAGGCAGCUUACUAAACUGUAACUGACGUUGAUGCACGAAAGUGUGGGUAUCAAACAGGAUUAGAUACCCUAGUAGUC